UACGGGGGGGGCAAGCGUUGUUCGGAAUUACUGGGCGUAAAGGGCUCGUAGGCGGCCAACUAAGUCAGACGUGAAAUCCCUCGGCUUAACCGGGGAACUGCGUCUGAUACUGGAUGGCUUGGAUUUGGGAGAGGGAUGCGGAAUUCCAGGUGUAGCGGUGAAAUGCGUAGAUAUCUGGAGGAACACCGGUGGCGAAGGCGGCAUCCUGGACCAACAUUGACGCUGAGGAGCGAAAGCCAGGGGAGCAAACGGG
RNAcentral lists this ribosomal RNA (253 nucleotides) under uncultured bacterium. Its description in RNAcentral is "partial 16S ribosomal RNA". It matches the Rfam family "Bacterial small subunit ribosomal RNA", at positions 524 to 776 of the family's 1533-position model. The record is from RNAcentral.